AUGCCCUUGGUUCUUCUGGAUCUCCAGGUUGCUAACUCCAAAGGUGACCUUAAAGGAUUGCUGUUUAGUGUCACUCAAGAUCUACUAAGCAUCAUUUUUUGGAUGACUGUGGCAAAAGGAUAUCUGUACAAAACCAGUUCCUUUCUGAAGUUUAUAGUUGGGGCCCUGUUCUCAGACAGAAGAAAAGCUCUUCAACUACACAGAGAGGAGAGAUCCUGCCACCAUCAACUGUAUCAGAGCAGCUGCACUCCACAGCCCCAGGAUGCUUUUGAAACUUCAGUCAACGUGAAUUGUACCCUCUGGAGAUGUGAACAAUCCAUGUCACUUUACAUGGUGACCUCACUCAUUUUGUAGAACUUGUGCUUUGCCUUUUGGUGGGUUGAAAGAAUAUGAAAUAAAUGGAAAUUCUCAGAAGUUGAAAGGUUUAUU
Molecule: long non-coding RNA, 429 nt
Filed under: Bos indicus x Bos taurus (hybrid cattle)
Lineage: Eukaryota; Metazoa; Chordata; Mammalia; Artiodactyla; Bovidae
Description: lncRNA (ENSBIXG00005017403.1)
Source: RNAcentral